This 778-nucleotide long non-coding RNA is filed under the name Pan troglodytes (chimpanzee). RNAcentral describes it as "lincRNA". Lineage: Eukaryota; Metazoa; Chordata; Mammalia; Primates; Hominidae. The record is from RNAcentral.
CCUCGUAAGGAUUUCCAUUUUAUGUUCUUGUCUUCUCAUCAGUUUGAGUUGUGUCUUUAACAUUGGAGAGAAAAACAACUUGCAAGAUUUUCUUUCAGUAUGAACCAUUCUGAGGUCCUUCAAUUCUUUAGCUGAUUACCAACUCCUACCACUGUUAACCCUCAUCCAGGAAAAAGCUUAUGUCUUUAACAUUCUGAGUGGGCUUCAGCAUCCUUGCAUAUGUUCAAUUCUUAAAAACCUGUUGAAAUAAAAGAUCAGGAGACAUAGGAAGGAUGCCAGAAGAGAGCGUGGCCUCAUGUGUACCAGCUCUCUGCUCUCCUUUGCCUUGGGACGUUCCAUCCCUGGAAGUUUCCCUGCCCACAUCUUUGUAGAGAGUCCAUUCUCCAAGCUUCAGUGUGUCAUCUGUGAGGACUGUGACCAACCUGGUACAUCGCCUCAGGGCAUUCAUUUCAGGCUCCUUCUAAAUGGUCAAGGUAAACCUCAGGUUCUCCUCCUGCCUUUUGCUAAGUAUAUGUCUUGAUGACAAGCCUUCUGCUGAUGAGCUGUGUUUCUGGACCGAUCAUGGUAGAAGUCAAUUAACGUGUCCCUCACUUGGGGUUUCUCAAGGCUGCACUGAUGAGGAAACUGAAACAGAAAAUCCAGAGUAAAUUCCACCAGGCCACACAGCAAGGUCUGAUAGAGCCAGGAGAGACUUUAUGAAAUCCAGACUCUCACACUAAUGCUCUAUCAGCUAGACCUCCAUGUGAGUCUCCCCAAUGUAGGUAGGAAGUGCUUUCCC